UUUGAAAUCAUUGUCGGUCAUUUCCUGUUGUAACGCAAGCAAGACUGUUUAGUUCACGUCUCCCCCAAACAUACAAGGAAAGAAAAAGUAAUAUGUGGAAUCACUUGAGGGCCGGGUCAGCGCUGAAGUUUCCACAAGUAUAUUUUCACAGGAGAGCACAAGAUCCAUAUGACCGUCUAUUUUCUGCCAACACAGCAACAUGAAAAUCCAUCAUCUGCAACUCAUGAUCGCCCUGGAAUCGGAAAAUCAAUUCUCUAAAAGACCCCUCCUUAAUCCCGUUUUUCGCUGGCCACAAAGGCCACUUGUGUGCGACCCCGCUGGACUAUGGACUGGGAUGAUGUGGAUGUCUGCUUGGAUUCCAAGCCUUUCAGAGAGUCCGUGGAUCAAAACCUCCGUUUGACUGCUGGGAAAACAGAAGCCAAACAUCCAAACAGCUACCAACAAACCCCCAGGCCCUCGUGGUGCAUCUUGUUCAUGUUUCAGGUUUGUGGGAUGCCGCUGUCAGCCGUGACGUAGUGGGGGGGUUUGCAACAUGCUGUGGAUGUGAUCCAGGAGUGAAUAAAUAAAAGAUAAGGACCUGAGAUUCACAGCCAUUAAAGCUGUGACAUUAUGUAAGCAUAUAGGUUUUGUUUUUCUGUCUGUCUCACCAAAUGGAUCACCAUGUGGUCCACCUCUCUUCAAAAUGUCUUUUUUUUUUAAAACAAAAUGAGUCGUUAGCCUUUUAAAACAAUGUUUUAUUAGUCUAAUUAGAGUAGUUUGUGUGCAUUUUCUAUUUUACAGUAUUUUCUCAUUGUUUUUGCAGUUUUAAUGUUGUUUUUGUUAUUAGGUGCAGUAACUCACAGU
RNAcentral lists this long non-coding RNA (843 nucleotides) under Danio rerio (zebrafish). Its description in RNAcentral is "si:ch211-69b22.4 (ENSDARG00000099086.3)". Lineage: Eukaryota; Metazoa; Chordata; Actinopteri; Cypriniformes; Danionidae. The record is from RNAcentral.